CCAAUGCAAACAGUCCAUGCCCAGGAGGAACAAAUGGUAGUCCAAUGGCCCAAACCAAAGGAGCAUGCAGAUCAAUGUCUUCCCAAACCUCCGAAUAAGGUAGAGUUUAUUUUGCCUGAAUUCAGUACUAAAUUGCAGCUAGCCAUAGAGAAACAUGAAUUGGAGUUCAAAGUUCUUCCCAAUCAUCUAAAAAAUGCAAACAUAAGGGCUAGAGGCACAUCUCAUCUGAAAGAGGAGAAGCUAAUCAUGUUACUUCAUGAGUACAUGGAAAAAGUAGGAUGGGCUAUGACAAAAUCAAAAGGAGUGCUACACUUUUUGCUCAAUGCACUAAUCAUGUUACUUCAUGAGUACAUGGAAAAAGUAGGAUGGGCUAUGACAAAAUCAAAAGGAGUGCUACACUUUUUGCUCAAUGCAGUUGGGACUCUUUUCCCUUCCCCAAUUACUUGAGCCUUGAUCAAGUGGAUCGCACCAUGUACACCACACCCAGGGGAGUACUCAGUUUCCUUUGUUCUUUUAUGUUUUUUUACACAUUGAGGACAAUGCAUGAUUUAGGUGUGGGGGUGCAUAUUUCUGAAUUUUUAAAUUUUUGUUUUGAUUUUCAGUUUGAAUUUUUAUUUUCAUUUUUCAGUGUGAUUUUCAAUUUUUCAUUUUGCUUUCAAUAACACACACAGAUAGCCACAGUUUUUUUUUAUUCUCCGUUUUUGAGAUUCUUUACUCAUCAUAUCAACUAUGUUGGAUGAGCUUUUCUUUCCCUGACCCCAUUGAUGUGAUAACUCUUUAAACUUAUAUUGAAUCAAUUGCAGUGGGUUAUAUUCAUGUUUGAGAAUUGCCUUUUGAAUUGAAUCUUUGAGUUUGCCAUGGUGAAAAAUAUAUUGAUGACCCUCAAUUGAUGAGAAUAAAUUGAAAAUUAUGUGAAUGAACUUAAUAUGACCUGAUUUAGCAAUUGGUGUUGAUUUGCCCAAAUCAUUGAGAGAAAGAAAAUUCAGCAAAGGCAAAGACCUCAAAAGCACAAAUUGAAAAUUGUUCCAAUAGUCAAAAGACUAUGAACAAGGCAAGUAGCCACUUGGAUAGGUGACCAACUGAAAAAUAUAAACCUUCAAAUCAAAAAUAGGUUGGUN
Molecule: long non-coding RNA, 1118 nt
Filed under: Manihot esculenta (cassava)
Lineage: Eukaryota; Viridiplantae; Streptophyta; Magnoliopsida; Malpighiales; Euphorbiaceae
Description: long non-coding RNA (MESC_LNC009967)
Source: RNAcentral